RNAcentral lists this ribosomal RNA (495 nucleotides) under uncultured bacterium. RNAcentral describes it as "partial 16S ribosomal RNA". It matches the Rfam family "Bacterial small subunit ribosomal RNA", at positions 28 to 507 of the family's 1533-position model. The record is from RNAcentral.
GAUGAACGCUGGCGGCGUGCUUAACACAUGCAAGUCGAACGAAGCACCUCGCCCGAUGAUUGACACAGCUUGCUGGAGAUCGAUUCAUUUAAGGGGACUGAGUGUCGCACGGGUGAGUAACUCGUGGGUAACCUGCCUCGUAGAUGGGGACAACAGUUUGAAACGACUGCUAAUACCGCAUAGUGAGAAGAAUUCGCAUGUUUUCUUCUUGAAAGAUUUAUCGCUAUGAGAUGGACCCGCGUCUGAUUAGCUAGUUGGUAAGGUAACGGCUUACCAAGGCGACGAUCAGUAGCCGGCUUGAGAGAGUGAACGGACACAUUGGGACUGAGACACGGCACAAACUCCUACGGGAGGCAGCAGUGGGGAAUAUUGCACAAUGGGGGAAACCAUGAUGCAGCGACGCCGCGUGAGUGAAGAAGUAUUUCGGUAUGUAAAGCUCUAUCAGCAGGGAAGAUAAUGACGGUACCUGACUAAGAAGCCCCGGCUAACUACGUG